RNAcentral lists this ribosomal RNA (256 nucleotides) under uncultured bacterium. RNAcentral's name for it is "partial 16S ribosomal RNA". It matches the Rfam family "Bacterial small subunit ribosomal RNA", at positions 524 to 776 of the family's 1533-position model. The record is from RNAcentral.
UACGGGGGGGGCAAGCGUUGUUCGGAAUUACUGGGCGUAAAGCGUGCGCAGGCGGUUCGUGAUGUCUGGUGUGAAAGCCCCGGGCUUAACCUGGGAAUUGCAUUGGAAACUAGCGGGCUGGAGUGUGGCAGAGGGGGGGUGGAAUUCCACGUGUAGCAGUGAAAUGCGUAGAGAUGUGGAGGAACACCGAUGGCGAAGGCAGCCCCCCUGGGCUAACACGUGACGCUCAUGCACGAAAGCGUGGGGAGCAAACAGG